UAAUAUAAAGGAGAUGAAGGAGAAAAUGUGGCGAAAAGGAAAAGAGCUGUCACCUUUAGCAAUUACUCAACAUGCAAGGUUUGUGGCCAAGUUUUGUUUUAUUUUUUAACUUAAUAUUUUGUAGAUUCGUUUAGUACACAUAUAAACUGCAUUAUACAUGUGUAAAUCUGUAUAACUAUUAUUUAUAUUUAUGUUGGCAAUUACUCAACAUGCAAGGUUUGUGGCCAAGUUUUGUUUUGUUUUUUAACUUAAUAUUUUGUAGAUUCGUUUAGUACACAUAUAAACUGCAUUAUACAUGUGUAAAUCUGUAUAACUAUUAUUUAUAUUUAUGUUGGCAUCCUUAGUUCUGUAAACAUUAUCAUGCAAGUAUUUUUAUUUUUUAUUCACCUUUAUAAAUUCUUCGACAUAUACACUUCAAUCGAUAGAUUUUUCAAAUAAACAAAUAAAAUUUGCUACGUAAUAAUUUUCACUUGUUUUCAAUUGUUGGGCCUUAGAAUAUGGGUCUAAAAUAUCGAUAGAGAUGCUUGAAAAUUCAGCCCAUGUAGCCCAGCAAAAAAUAUUACUAUCAUUAUUGAUGAAGACGUUUGAAAAAUAUACACAUGAUAAAAAAACGUGAUUUUGGGUUCGGGGUAAAUAAUUAAUUUAGGCUUUUAUUGAAUUAAUUUAGAUAUGAAUUUUAUUGAAAUGAACUAAUAAGAAUUGCUUAAACUUUCGUUCUUAUUUUUGUGAAGGAAUGGAUAUAUGUUUUAUUAAAUAGUAAUCCAAACACAUUACGCAUGUAAAUUUAUUGAAGGACAAAUAAGAUCAUAUUGAAGAUGAAAUUAAUGCAAUUUUGAAAUAAAUAAGUAGCUUUUGUAUCAUGCAUGCCUUUAGAUAUAUACGGCUAUAUGCAUUUACAUCAGCGAGCAAAUCCGAACUGUCUUCCUUCUUGAAGAUCACAUACCGUAGUAGUGAUUCUAAUGAGAAUCUUUACUUAAAUUGAUAAUGCGAACAUAAUUUUCAACUCUUCAAUUGCAAAUAUUUAUAAUAAAUGCAUCAUUGGAUUUAUAAUAACCGGUUAACUACGUUAAAAAAUGAAAUUUUCUCCCUUAAUGAUAUUCGAAUUCAAGUAUUGCAUUCAUUCAUGAAAAUGAUAUAUUUCAUCGCAGAUCUUCGCCUUGUGUAUAUAUGAUCACUAAAUGUAUACAUUACUCAACCACACCUUAUAUUGUACAUAUAUGUAUAUAUGGAGAGAGAGAGAGGAUGGAAGGUGAAUAAAAACAACUGUUGUGAUAAGAAAUAUGAUCCAAUCCUCAACCAUCUGCAUGCAUAUUGACAGGCGUAACUAAUUAUUUCUGGCCACGUUUUUUCUUCAAUUCUUCUUCGCUCUAUAAAUUCAUUUCAAUUGCCCACCUCAAAUUAAAUUAUACGUAUAAACUAAAACACACACACACACACACACACAUCUUUUUCUCAAUCAACUUUAAUUUAUCGAAAAAAAUGGACAAACAAGCAGCUGCAUCUGUUUCUUCAUUGCUUGAAUAUUGUGAUGAACCCAAAACCCUAAGCGCAUCUGAGCUUGCUGCCUCUAGGGUUUGUGCCUACAUUUUCUUUUUAGUAUACAUAUGCAGAUAUGUGUAGCUAUCUAGCUUUUAUCGAUUUAUGCUUUUUCUUUGUGUCACAGAAGGCAGCUCUUAAAGUAAUACAAACCCAUACACCCGAGGAAGCUUCGAGAAUAUUCUUGGGGGUAAAAACUCUUUCAUUUCCCUCUCCAAAACCCUCUGUGUGUGUGUGUGUUGAAACUUUCUCGAUCUUCAUUCGUGGGGUAUAUGCAUUUAAAAAUAUGAUCAUUUCUACAUUAAUUGAAGCACUAGAGGCGUAAAAAACAGCAGUCUCGAUAUGCUUGAUAUAAUCUUGAGUUGGACUAGACCAUAAUUUUGGUCUCAAUCGGACCCAGUUUAGGGAUUCUAACUUAGAAAGGCCCAAUUUUGAGGUCGAGCCCAUGCUUUUUUAGGAUCAAUGAUUUAUCGCUUAAUUUGGCUCCAAUUUGACAAUUCUAAAUGUAUCAUUACAAUUUACGCAUACAUAGAGAUGGCAAUGGAUUCUGGACCCGGUCUAAAUCCGUGUAUUCAGAUUCGUUUUUUAGGGUUUGGAUCUCAAUUUUUUGGACUCGUGAAUCUGGAUCUCAAUUUUUAAAAUGGAUCCGACCCAAAUUCGACUCGUGGAUCCAUUUUAUUUAAUGUAAAUUAUUUAUUUUUUAUAUUUAUUUUAUUACUAAUAUAAAAUAUAUUAAAAUUUAAAAAUAAUACAAAAAUUAGAAUUACAAAUUAAAAUACUUUGUUUUGUGCAAUAUUUUUUAUGAAGAAAAUUAAAUGUUGUUGAUUUUGUAACUUUUUUUUUAAUUUAAUUUAAAAACAGUAGAUCCAUGGAUUUAGACCCGCGGAUCUGAUGAAUCUGGAUUUGGAUCCUAAAUUUUCAGAUCUACGGAUCUGAAUCUGGUAAAAUGAAACGGAUCUGGAUCUGGUAUCGUUGUCAUCCCUAUGCAUACACUCAUACAUAAUGUAAUGUUUGUUUUAACAUAUUUUUUCUUAAACAUUUGAUCGUUGUUGCAGAAAAUGGAGGUUUCUUCUUCUACAAUAACAAAGAAGCAAGUGGAAUCUUUCAACAAGACGUGAUAAUA
RNAcentral lists this long non-coding RNA (2659 nucleotides) under Salvia miltiorrhiza (redroot sage). RNAcentral's name for it is "long non-coding RNA (SMIL_LNC000040)". Lineage: Eukaryota; Viridiplantae; Streptophyta; Magnoliopsida; Lamiales; Lamiaceae. The record is from RNAcentral.